RNAcentral lists this ribosomal RNA (483 nucleotides) under uncultured bacterium. RNAcentral describes it as "partial 16S ribosomal RNA". It matches the Rfam family "Bacterial small subunit ribosomal RNA", at positions 28 to 523 of the family's 1533-position model. The record is from RNAcentral.
GACGAACGCUGGCGGCGUGCUUAACACAUGCAAGUCGAACGAUGAAGCUGGAGCUUGCUCCGGUGGAUUAGUGGCGAACGGGUGAGUAACACGUGAGCAAUCUGCCCUUGACUCCGGGAUAACUGCGGGAAACUGUAGCUAAUACCGGAUACGAGACCUGAAGGCAUCUUCGGGUCUGGAAAGAAUUUCGGUCAAGGAUGAGCUCGCGGCCUAUCAGCUUGUUGGUGAGGUAAUGGCUCACCAAGGCGACGACGGGUAGCCGGCCUGAGAGGGUGACCGGCCACACUGGGACUGAGACACGGCCCAGACUCCUACGGGAGGCAGCAGUGGGGAAUAUUGCACAAUGGGCGAAAGCCUGAUGCAGCAACGCCGCGUGAGGGAUGACGGCCUUCGGGUUGUAAACCUCUUUCAGCACCGACGAAGCGCAAGUGACGGUAGGUGCAGAAGAAGGACCGGCCAACUACGUGCCAGCCGCCGCUGUAA